GACGAACGCUGGCGGCGUGCUUAACACAUGCAAGUCGAACGAUGAAGAAAAGACUCGAAGCUUCGGCAGAAAUUCAUUUCGGAUUAGUGGCAGACGGGUGAGUAACGCGUGAGCAACCUACCUCUUACAAAGGGAUAGCCUCGGGAAACCGGGAUUAAUACCAUAUAACAUUGUGACGAAGCAUUUCGAUGCAAUCAAAGCUACGGCGGUAAGAGAUGGGCUCGCGUCCCAUUAACCGGAUGGUGAGGUAACGGCUCACCAUAGUGACGAUGGGUAACCGGUCUGAGAGGGUGAACAGUCACACUGGAACUGAGACACGGUCCAGACUCCUACGGGAGGCAGCAGUGGGGAAUAUUGCACAAUGGAGGGAACUCUGAUGCAGCGACGCCGCGUGAGUGAUGAAGGAAUUCGUUUCGUAAAGCUCUGUUAUAUGGGAAGAAAAGGACUGUACCAUAGGAGAAAGCUCCGGCUAAAUACGUG
Molecule: ribosomal RNA, 480 nt
Filed under: uncultured bacterium
Lineage: Bacteria
Description: partial 16S ribosomal RNA
Rfam family: Bacterial small subunit ribosomal RNA
Source: RNAcentral